Molecule: long non-coding RNA, 2485 nt
Organism: Oncorhynchus tshawytscha (Chinook salmon)
Lineage: Eukaryota; Metazoa; Chordata; Actinopteri; Salmoniformes; Salmonidae
Source: Ensembl
GUCAGUGAGGCAGAACACGGCUUCAGACAGCAGCCUGGUAGGGGGUCCAUGGCCACUGAACCGACGACAGAGUGGACAGCCGAAAGCUGCUCUGUCUUGCACUAUCCAAGUACUACAAUAUACCGCGGUGCUUGGUGUUCUGUAGGUCUGAAUCCUAAAGGAUGUGUUGUAUCUCAGCACACUCGCUGCAGGCUCUGACAAUGCCUGUGGAAUGCUGUUACUCCUGGUGUCUCAGAUACAAUAGCGGGAUUUGCUUGCUGUUGUUGUGAUCUUAUAUCUGACUGCAGAUGUGGAACUACAUGUUUUACUCCUCUGUCAGGAUCCUGGGCAUGUAUGGAUGGACUGAGUAUGAUGUGCUUUGUAAAGCUGUUUGAGGGAAUGGUUGUACUGAAUUGACCAAAAUUCUUUACAGGGUUGUGAUGAGAUAGACUCAGACAUCAGAGUAGUCAUGACGUCCUCACAUGAGGAAUGAUGAAACAACUGAUUGAAUAUUGUUAUUGUCAGAAGUCUAAAAGCUGGAACUGACACUGAGAAGUGAAUAUGUUCUAUGAACGGUAUAUCUUUCAAUAGAUCCUAACUUCCUGUCGGGUGAAAUAACAUCAUUCAGAAUGUUCUAGCUACCAUCCAUUUUAGGAAAGCUACAUCUUGAACUGUAAGGGUCGUCGUUGGGACUAAUGAAGGGGUGUGUCUAUUGAUAUUGAGAGACCAUGUCAUUAUAUCUACUGUACUAUGGUGGGUUAGGAAAAGAUCUGACCACUCUGUGCAACUCACAUAUUUUUCUAUAAUGAAAACUGUGUACAGAAAUAUUUUAAAAGUGUGUUUUUUUAACAUGGUUGUUUAAUGUGACUGAUAGUUACUUUUGCCUUAAAUUGUAUUUUGUUGUCGUGUAGAAUUAUGAAAAUUACAAUAUUAUCCUAAUUGCUUGACCAAAGUAGAAGUUUGACAUUCAUGAGAAGGUGUGUUGUAUCGACUUGAUAUUUUGUCUUGUAUACAUUUGAAGUAUAUUCUGAAAGGGAGUCAUGCGUCAUGCAUGCACUGUGAGUGUGUGUUAUUGUGUGUGUGUGUGUACGUUUCUGUAUAUUCAAGUAUUAAGUAUUUAUGGUGUAAAUACCUGUAGCUCCAAUAUGCUCCUGAGCACAACAAGUAAAGACCAUGUAUUCUGGAGGAAGAAGUCAAAGGUUGGUCAGUGUUGCCUGUUCUUCAAGGCAGGAGUAGUAUUGUGUUCUUUAAGGCAGGAGUAGUAGUGUGUUCUUCAAGGCAGGAGUAGUAUUGUGUUCUUCAGGGCAGGAGUAGUAUUGUGUUCUUCAAGGCAGGAGUAGUACUGUGUUCUUCAAGGCAGGAGUAGUAUUGUGUUCUUCAAGGCAGGAGUAGUAGUGUGUUCUUCAAGGCAGGAGUAGUAGUGUGUUCUUCAAGGCAGGAGUAGUAUUGUGUUCUUCAAGGCAGGAGUAGUAGUGUGUUCUUCAAGGCAGGAGUAGUAGUGUGUUCUUCAAGGCAGGAGUAGUAGUGUGUUCUUCAAGGCAGGAGUAGUAGUGUGUUCUUCAAGGCAGGAGUAGUAUUGUGUUCUUCAAGGCAGGAGUAGUAGUGUGUUCUUCAAGGCAGGAGUAGUAGUGUGUUCUUCAAGGCAGGAGUAGUAGUGUGUUCUUCAAGGCAGAAGUAGUAUUGUGUUCUUCAAGGCAGGAGUAGUAGUGUGUUCUUCAAGGCAGAAGUAGUAUUGUGUUCUUCAAGGCAGGAGUAGUAGUGUGUUCUUCAAGGCAGGAGUAGUAGUGUGUUCUCAUAUGGGUCAGAUUUAACACAAGUGUCUCACCAAGAAUUGCACUGGCAAGGUUUUUAUAACUGUUGAGAAAGAGCAAGAGCUUUUAGAGUGGUCUCAGGGUUAAGCUUCAAACCCCAUUGACUGGAGAAGAAUCCUCCCCGUUGGCAGGAAACCAGAAGCAUAGAGAGAGUGACAGUUAGUUAUUUGCUUUCCUCUUUUAUUGAACCACAUAGAGUAACACACUUUCGGGCCUGUACCUAAGCUUACUAAACUAAUGACAGAACAGUAGCUCUAUUUAAAACAUGUGAAUGUAAGACAGUUUCUGUAUCCCCAUCCCUAUAAUAAUGUCAAUAACAUACCAGCAACAAUGUCCUGGUCUGGGUGAAUACUGUUUGAUAGGAUGAUAUACACUUUGACUUGUGAUUUGUAUCUUGAUCAUGACAAUGUCAUCUGAUCGUGACGAUGUCUUAACUUAACCCAUCAAUAUAAUGUGUUGUACACUGUAUGGUACUCACUGUAUUUUCAACGACACUACCAUUGGGUGUUGUACAGUGUGUGGUACUCACUGUAUUUUCAACGACACUACCAUUGGGUGUUGUACAGUGUGUGGUACUCACUGUAUUUUCAACGACACUACCAUUGGGUGUUGUACACUGUGUGGUACUCACUGUAUUUUCAACGACACUACCAUUGGGUGUUGUACAGUGUGUGGUACUCACUGUAUUUUCAACA